Molecule: ribosomal RNA, 468 nt
Filed under: uncultured bacterium
Lineage: Bacteria
Description: partial 16S ribosomal RNA
Rfam family: Bacterial small subunit ribosomal RNA
Source: RNAcentral
GACGAACGCUGGCGGCGUGCUUAACACAUGCAAGUCGAACGGAAAGGCCCUGCUUUUGUGGGGUGCUCGAGUGGCGAACGGGUGAGUAACACGUGAGUAACCUGCCCUUGACUUUGGGAUAACUUCAGGAAACUGGGGCUAAUACCGGAUAGGAGCUCCUGCUGCAUGGUGGGGGUUGGAAAGUUUCGGCGGUUGGGGAUGGACUCGCGGCUUAUCAGCUUGUUGGUGGGGUAGUGGCUUACCAAGGCUUUGACGGGUAGCCGGCCUGAGAGGGUGACCGGCCACAUUGGGACUGAGAUAGGGAGCAGACGCCUACGGGAGGCAACAGUGGGGAAUAUUGCACAAUGGGCGGAAGCCUGAUGCAGCAACGCCGCGUGCGGGAUGACGGCCUUCGGGUUGUAAACCGCUUUCGGCUGAGACGAAGCGUGAGUGACGGUAAUGGGUAAAGAAGCACCGGCUAACUACGUG